This 393-nucleotide ribosomal RNA is filed under the name uncultured bacterium. Its description in RNAcentral is "partial 16S ribosomal RNA". It matches the Rfam family "Bacterial small subunit ribosomal RNA", at positions 523 to 918 of the family's 1533-position model. The record is from RNAcentral.
AUACGGAGGAUGCGAGCGUUAUCCGGAUUUAUUGGGUUUAAAGGGUGCGUAGGCGGUAGAUUAAGUCAGCGGUGAAAGUUUGUCGCUCAACGAUAAAAUUGCCGUUGAUACUGGUUUACUUGAGUAUAGUUGAAGUAGGCGGAAUGCGUGGUGUAGCGGUGAAAUGCAUAGAUAUCACGCAGAACUCCGAUUGCGAAGGCAGCUUACUAAGUUAUAACUGACACUGAAGCACGAAAGCGUGGGUAUCAAACAGGAUUAGAUACCCUGGUAGUCCACGCAGUAAACGAUGAUUACUAGCUGUUUGCGAUAUACAGUAAGUGGCACAGAGAAAGCGUUAAGUAAUCCACCUGGGGAGUACGCCGGCAACGGUGAAACUUAAAGGAAUUGACGGGG